This 104-nucleotide small nuclear RNA is filed under the name Notamacropus eugenii (tammar wallaby). Lineage: Eukaryota; Metazoa; Chordata; Mammalia; Diprotodontia; Macropodidae. The record is from RNAcentral.
GUUUGCUUUGGCAGAACCAUACUACAGUGAGAACAAUAUAGGGAAUAUUAGCAUGGUCCCUGUGCAAAGAUAACAUACAAAUUCAGGAAGUGUUUCAUAUUUUU